Bos taurus (domestic cattle) is the source of this 324-nucleotide long non-coding RNA. The record is from Ensembl. NCBI's taxonomy places the organism in Eukaryota, Metazoa, Chordata, Mammalia, Artiodactyla, Bovidae.
AUAUCUAGUGUGCUUGCAACACUUAGCCUCUGAGGCUGCCCUAGGAGCCUGUACAUGCUGUGCUGACCAAGGGCUGGCUUUCCUCUGUGGCCCACUCCUAGAACUGAGCAAUCAGAUAUUCCCAUUGUUGGUGAACUCAUCAACCUUGGUGAACCCAAAGAUUUGCUUGAGCAACCUGGGUUAUAGGAAAAGAAGAUGAAAGCCGUUGCCUUCAUCCUUCCCGGACACCUGUAAGCAGUCCCUUGAGGAAGCUUCCAUCAGAUGACCCAGCUGGAAAGCAUCUUCUGUUUCCUGCCAGUCCAUCUGAUGCACCUUUGAUCAGCA